GCAGAAGUACCCAAGAGGCUCAAGGGGCUCCCCUGCUAAGGGAGUAGUACUGUUAAAGGUAGCGCGAGUUCGAAUCUCGCCUUCUGCGCCA
Molecule: transfer RNA, 91 nt
Filed under: Clostridia bacterium
Lineage: Bacteria; Bacillati; Bacillota; Clostridia
Description: tRNA-Ser
Rfam family: tRNA
About the family: Transfer RNA (tRNA) molecules are approximately 80 nucleotides in length. Their secondary structure includes four short double-helical elements and three loops (D, anti-codon, and T loops).
Source: RNAcentral